GAUGAACGCUGGCGGCGUGCCUAAUACAUGCAAGUCGAGCGAACAGACGAGGAGCUUGCUCCUCUGACGUUAGCGGCGGACGGGUGAGUAACACGUGGCUAACCUACCUAUAAGACUGGGAUCACUUCGGGAAACCGGAGCUCAUACCGGAUAACAUGUUGAACCGCAUGGUUCAACAGUGAAAGCCGUUCUUGCUGUCCCUUAUAGAUGGAUCCGCGCCGCAUUAGCUAGUUGGUAAGGUAACGGCUUACCAAGGCAACGAUGCGUAGCCGACCUGAGAGGGUGAUCGGCCACACUGGAACUGAGACACGGUCCAGACUCCUACGGGAGGCAGCAGUAGGGAAUCUUGCGCAAUGGGCGAAAGCCUGACGGAGCAACGCCGCGUGAGUGAUGAAGGUCUUCGGAUCGUAAAACUCUGUUAGUAGGGAAGAACAAAUGUGUAAGUAACUAUGCACGUCUUGACGGUACCUAAUCAGAAAGCCACGGCUAACUACGUG
RNAcentral lists this ribosomal RNA (497 nucleotides) under uncultured bacterium. RNAcentral describes it as "partial 16S ribosomal RNA". It matches the Rfam family "Bacterial small subunit ribosomal RNA", at positions 28 to 507 of the family's 1533-position model. The record is from RNAcentral.